GACGAACGCUGGCGGCGUGCUUAACACAUGCAAGUCGAACGGUAAGGCCCUUCGGGGUACACGAGUGGCGAACGGGUGAGUAACACGUGGGUGAUCUGCCCUGCACUUCGGGAUAAGCCUGGGAAACUGGGUCUAAUACCGGAUAGGGCCACUGCCUGCAUGGGUGGUGGUGGAAAGCUUUUGCGGUGUGGGAUGGGCCCGCGGCCUAUCAGCUUGUUGGUGGGGUGCUGGCCUACCAAGGCGACGACGGGUAGCCGGCCUGAGAGGGUGACCGGCCACACUGGGACUGAGAUACGGCCCAGACUCCUACGGGAGGCAGCAGUGGGGAAUAUUGCACAAUGGGCGCAAGCCUGAUGCAGCGACGCCGCGUGAGGGAUGACGGCCUUCGGGUUGUAAACCUCUUUCAGCACCGACGAAGCGCAAGUGACGGUAGGUGCAGAAGAAGGACCGGCCAACUACGUGCCAGCCGCCGCAGUAA
RNAcentral lists this ribosomal RNA (478 nucleotides) under uncultured bacterium. Its description in RNAcentral is "partial 16S ribosomal RNA". It matches the Rfam family "Bacterial small subunit ribosomal RNA", at positions 28 to 523 of the family's 1533-position model. The record is from RNAcentral.